CAUCUCACUCCAGACCCUGGCCUGCCCCUGAUAAAACCGAAAGGAAAACGUUUGCCUUCACACACCCUGGUACAAUCUUGCAGAUUGCAUUUCGCCGGGAAAACGAUACAGGACGACAGGAGGGGGUCAAUGGCCGGUACGCUUAUAAAUAAGCGUCGAAUUUUGACUUAUCCUGGCGCAAAGUGGAAGAACAAAAACAAACAUCCUGCUAAAUCUGUGAAGAUUUUUACGAUUAACUGUGCAAAAAUGAUUAAACGCAGUUUUACUGUGGAAAUCAAAAGGAGAAAAAUUGAUGAGCACCGAUCUUAAGUUGUCACUCGGUACUACCUUUAUUGCGCUUGCUCUGAUCGUCGCAGCAAGUUUCACCGCUAUAUUGCAUUAAU
Molecule: small RNA, 383 nt
Filed under: Kluyvera intermedia
Lineage: Bacteria; Pseudomonadati; Pseudomonadota; Gammaproteobacteria; Enterobacterales; Enterobacteriaceae
Description: Enterobacterial sRNA STnc550
Rfam family: Enterobacterial sRNA STnc550
Source: RNAcentral